GACGAACGCUGGCGGCGCGCUUAACACAUGCAAGUCGAACGGAAAGGCCCCUUCGGGGGUACUCGAGUGGCGAACAGGUGAGUAACACGUGAGUAACCUGCCCUUGACUUCGGGAUAACUUCAGGAAACUGGGGCUAAUACCGGAUAGGAAUCCUUGCUGCAUGGUGGGGGUUGGAAAGCUUCGGCGGUUUUGGAUGGACUCGCGGCUUAUCAGCUUGUUGGUGGGGUAGUGGCUUACCAAGGCUUUGACGGGUAGCCGGCCUGAGAGGGCGACCGGCCACAUUGGGACUGAGAUACGGCCCAGACUCCUACGGGAGGCAGCAGGGGGGAAUAUUGCACAAUGGGCGGAAGCCUGAUGCAGCAACGCCGCGGGCGGGAUGACGGCCUUCGGGUUGUAUACCGCUUUCAGCAGGGGCGAAGCUUGUGGUGACGGUACCUGCAGAAGAAGCACCGGCUAACUACGUG
RNAcentral lists this ribosomal RNA (465 nucleotides) under uncultured bacterium. RNAcentral describes it as "partial 16S ribosomal RNA". It matches the Rfam family "Bacterial small subunit ribosomal RNA", at positions 28 to 507 of the family's 1533-position model. The record is from RNAcentral.